This 258-nucleotide long non-coding RNA is filed under the name Carica papaya (papaya). Its description in RNAcentral is "long non-coding RNA (CPAP_LNC004509)". The record is from RNAcentral. Lineage: Eukaryota; Viridiplantae; Streptophyta; Magnoliopsida; Brassicales; Caricaceae.
UGAAAUCAUAUAUAAACUGUAUAACGUAAUACCUAUCAAGCCUUUCAUAAUACAAUCGUUACACAACAUAUUUUUCCUCUUUUACCAGCCCACUAGUAUCCAUGGGGAUCCAUAGGGGUCCCGCUACCUGUUAACCCUUAACACUUGAAAUCAUAUUCCAGGGCCGUCCCCAUACCCCGUCCGGUAUGGGCACCAAAACUAUAAACCUCAUUACCCCGUCCGGUAAUGAGGGUGAAACGGGCCGUCCCCAUACCCCGU